RNAcentral lists this long non-coding RNA (347 nucleotides) under Amborella trichopoda. Its description in RNAcentral is "long non-coding RNA (ATRI_LNC002659)". Lineage: Eukaryota; Viridiplantae; Streptophyta; Magnoliopsida; Amborellales; Amborellaceae. The record is from RNAcentral.
UUUAUUUCAUCAUAUUUAAGUAUAAGAAAUAGUCUAUUGAGUUCUCUUUUUAAUGUUGAAAAGUUCGUGUAGUCCCCUAUGAACCACAUAGUGCAGUUUCACCCUAACUUCCUUAUUUUGUGUAGUAUUUCUCUCAAACUUUGAAUAACUAUUUUGAUACAUGUCUCUUUCAUGAUUUGAUCCCCAUUAAGUGAAAUAAAUAUGAUUAUUUGCUUGCCAUUGGAUUGAUCUCCUUGAGUUAUUAUUAUCACCCGUGCCUUAGACAAUGGACUGAAUUAAGUCCUCAAAAGGCUUUUUCUUAGCCCGGACGAAAGGGGUUCGAACUAUGGUUUCCCCAUGUAUGUUUG